This 2033-nucleotide long non-coding RNA is filed under the name Jatropha curcas. Its description in RNAcentral is "long non-coding RNA (JCUR_LNC002882)". Lineage: Eukaryota; Viridiplantae; Streptophyta; Magnoliopsida; Malpighiales; Euphorbiaceae. The record is from RNAcentral.
GUGUCAGCCGCCAUCCUUCUCGCUGGAAGUUGUGGGUUGUCGUCGUGGGAGGUGGCCUUGCAAUGCUCCUUGAAAUCUACGACUUUCCUCCAUAUAAAGGAUUUGUGGAUGCUCAUGCUCUCUGGCAUGCCACCACCAUCCCUCUUACCUACAUUUGGUGGAGUUUCAUCAGAGAUGAUACAGAGUUAGGAACCUCUAACCUCCUUAAAAAGGCAAAGUAGCUUAUCAAACAAUUUGAUAUGUAAAACCACCUUCCCUGUUCUUGAGCUUGACAAGAAAUUAAAGUUUACUAGUUCUCAAGAUUUGCAUUUUUUUUCUCCUGUAAUAUUUGUUUUUUUUUUUUCCUGUUUAAACUUUGAAGGAUGGAAGCUACUUAGUUUGAUAUUCAAUUUGAAUGAAACAUUUUUGUGGUGAGAUUAGAUUGUGAAAUGAAACUGAGAAUUGCGGCUGCUUACUGAAUGUUUGCUUCUUUCCGUUUUUUCCUUUUUUUUCUGAUUAAUUUGGCUCCAAACUCUUUUCUUUCCCAUUUCUUUAUGUGUCUUUUUUCCUUUUCGAGUUCUUUGACCUCUGUAAUGCUCUGUGCCCGCUAGUCAAGUUAACUGCUCUCCAGAUAUUUCUGGAGAAAAUCCUUUAGAAAAUAAAAUAAUAUUGUUUCCUUUUUCGCACAUUAGGUUCAAGGGCAUAACUUUCAAAAGCAGGGGCUUCGACAGUUCCCACUUUCCACCGUCCAAUUUAUUAUAUACAUAAAUUGCCAAAUUAAUAUUUAGUCCCUAUAAUUUAGUGACUUUGCAAAUCAGGACUUCUAUUUUAAAAAAAUUAAAUAAUUCCUCUAUUUUAUUGUUGUUAAAUUAUAUCGUCCUUACAUUAAUUUUUCUGUUAAAUUAUAGUGAAAUGUCAUUUUUAACCAUAAUUUUUUUAACAUAUUGUUGAGUGUUAUUCUAUACAGGUUAGAAAUGAGAAAAUAUAUACAUACGCGACAACUAUGCAAUUGGCUAGUGGCAAAUCAUUUUGACUAUGAUUGGACUUUUUAAUUGUAUCUUUUGUUUAAAUUAGAUUAUUAGAUAAAAUGAGAUUUUUAUCAACAGUAAAAUUAAAAUGAAAAAAAAGUGUUUUAUUAUUAUUUUUUAAGUUAACAAAAAAAAAAAAUGCUCCACUGCUUGCAUUUGUGACAACUCAUAUAUUGUUCCUCAACUUUUAUAAGCUAGACUAUGGUAUUUUAUCUGUACUCUUGUACUUUCACAUAUUCUUGUUCGAAGAUUAAUGCAUAAGAUACAUUCUGAUGUAUUUAAAAAUUUUUGAAAAAUAGCUUUCCACCUGUUAUGCCAGUUUUCACUUCAUCUAUAGAACAUAACAUCUGACUAGGCAAAUUUCUUCCAAUAAAAGAUUGCUGGAGAUGACGUUCUAUCUUGUGAUUUGCUUGACUGCAUCUGUUCUGUUUCUCACGGCAUUAGGAAUUAAUGCCGUGAAGAGAGAGAGAGCUAUGCCAAUGUGAUUUCUAAUUUUCCUUAACUGCAUGAUGUAAACAGUUAGCGGGCAUGGACUGACAUGAUUGUGAAUAUUUUACAGGGUGGAACAUGAUAGUUUGUGUCAUCAUGGCAGUGGCUCAGCUUCUCAUUUGGGCGAUUUGGGCCGGUGUCAGCCGCCAUCCUUCUCGCUGGAAGUUGUGGGUUGUCGUCGUGGGAGGUGGCCUUGCAAUGCUCCUUGAAAUCUACGACUUUCCUCCAUAUAAAGGAUUUGUGGAUGCUCAUGCUCUCUGGCAUGCCACCACCAUCCCUCUUACCUACAUUUGGUGGAGUUUCAUCAGAGAUGAUACAGAGUUAGGAACCUCUAACCUCCUUAAAAAGGCAAAGUAGCUUAUCAAACAAUUUGAUAUGUAAAACCACCUUCCCUGUUCUUGAGCUUGACAAGAAAUUAAAGUUUACUAGUUCUCAAGAUUUGCAUUUUUUUUCUCCUGUAAUAUUUGUUUUUUUUUUUUCCUGUUUAAACUUUGAAGGAUGGAAGCUACUUAGUUUGAUAUUCAAUUUGAAUGAAAC